Non-coding RNA from Caenorhabditis elegans, 139 nucleotides. The record is from Ensembl. Lineage: Eukaryota; Metazoa; Nematoda; Chromadorea; Rhabditida; Rhabditidae.
GAAUAAAAUCGUUGCGAGACUCAAAGUCUGUCGAAACCCCAUGCGCCUUCAAACGAGCAUAGCGCCAGUGAUCAUUCAAUGGCGUGUUUGCUGACCGGAGGCGCCCAAGUUUCGCGCUUUCAUUUCUCCUCCCAUUCAU